This 497-nucleotide ribosomal RNA is filed under the name uncultured bacterium. Its description in RNAcentral is "partial 16S ribosomal RNA". It matches the Rfam family "Bacterial small subunit ribosomal RNA", at positions 28 to 507 of the family's 1533-position model. The record is from RNAcentral.
GAUGAACGCUGGCGGCGUGCCUAAUACAUGCAAGUCGAGCGAACGGACGAGAAUCUUGCUUCUCUGAUGUUAUCGGCGGACGGGUGAGUAACACGUGGAUAACCUACCUAUAAGACUGGGAUAACUUCGGGAAACCGGAGCUAAUACCGGAUAAUAUUUUGAACCGCAUGGUUCAAACGUGAAAGACGGUCUUGCUGUCACUUAUAGAUGAAUCCGCGCUGCAUUAGCUAGUUGGUAAGGUAGCGGCUUACCAAGGCAACGAGGCAUAGCCGACCUGAGAGGGUGAUCGGCCACACUGGAACUGAGACACGGUCCAGACUCCGACGGGAGGCAGCAGUAGGGAAUCUUACGCAAGGGGCGAAAGCCGGACGGAGCAACGCCGCGGGAGUGAUGAAGGUCUCCGGAUCGGAAAACUCUGUUAUUAGGGAAGAACAUAUGGGUAAGUAGCUGUGAACAUCUUGACGGUACCUAAAGAGAAAGCCACGGCUAACUACGUG